This 427-nucleotide ribosomal RNA is filed under the name uncultured bacterium. Its description in RNAcentral is "partial 16S ribosomal RNA". It matches the Rfam family "Bacterial small subunit ribosomal RNA", at positions 355 to 774 of the family's 1533-position model. The record is from RNAcentral.
UGGGGAAUAUUGGAAAAUGGGCGAAAGCCUGAUCCAGCCAUGCCGCGUGUGUGAAGAAGGUAUUAGGAUUGUAAAGCAAUUUAAGUUGGGAGGAAGGGCAUUAACUUAAUACGUUAGUGUUUUGACGUUACCGACAGAAUAAGCACAGGCUAACUCUGUGCCAGCAGCCGCGGUAAUACAGAGGGUGCAAGCGUUAAUCGGAAUUACUGGGCGUAAAGCGCGCGUAGGUGGUUUGUUAAGUUGGAUGUGAAAUCCCCGGGCUCAACCUGGGAACUGCAUUCAAAACUGACUGACUAGAGUAUGGUAGAGGGUGGUGGAAUUUCCUGUGUAGCGGUGAAAUGCGUAGAUAUAGGAAGGAACACCAGUGGCGAAGGCGACCACCUGGACUAAUACUGACACUGAGUUGCGAAAGCGUGGGGAGCAAACA